UCCGGAGGGUGCAAGCGUUGCUCGGAAUUAUUGGGCGUAAAGGGUAGGUAGGUGGUCUCAUUUGUCUGGGGUGAAAGCCUUGAGCUUAACUCAAGAAGUGCCCCAGAAACGGUGAGACUGGAGUCCUGGAGAGGGUCGUGGAAUUCCCGGUGUAGCGGUGAAAUGCGUAGAGAUCGGGAGGAACACCAGAGGCGAAAGCGGCGACCUGGACAGGUACUGACACUCAACUACGAAAGCGUGGGGAGCAAACAGG
RNAcentral lists this ribosomal RNA (253 nucleotides) under uncultured bacterium. RNAcentral describes it as "partial 16S ribosomal RNA". It matches the Rfam family "Bacterial small subunit ribosomal RNA", at positions 524 to 776 of the family's 1533-position model. The record is from RNAcentral.